GCUGGCGGCACGCCUAACACAUGCAAGUCGAACGAAGUAGCAAUACUUAGUGGCAGACGGGUGAGUAACAUGUAGGUAUCUGCCCUUUGGCCUGGAAUAACACGAGGAAACUUGUGCUAAUACCGGAUAAGUCUUUACGGAGAAAGCUUUAUGCACCAUUGGAUGAGCCUGCACUUGAUUAGUUUGUUGGUGGGGUAAUGGCCUACCAAGACUGUGAUCAAUAGCUGAUUUGAGAGGAUGAUCAGCCACAUUGGGACUGAGACACGGCCCAAACUCCUACGGGAGGCAGCAGUGGGGAAUCUUGCACAAUGGAGGAAACUCUGAUGCAGCGAUGCCGCGUGAGUGAAGAAGGCCUUUGGGUUGUAAAGCUCUUUCGUCGGGGAAGAAAAUGACUGUACCCGAAUAAGAAGGUCCGGCUAACUUCGUGCCAGCAGCCGCGGUAAUACGAAGGGACCUAGCGUAGUUCGGAAUUACUGGGCUUAAAGAGUUCGUAGGUGGUUGAAAAAGUUGGUGGUGAAAUCCCAGAGCUUAACUCUGGAACUGCCAUCAAAACUUUUCAGCUAGAGUAUGAUAGAGGAAAGCAGAAUUUCUAGUGUAGAGGUGAAAUUCGUAGAUAUUAGAAAGAAUACCAAUUGCGAAGGCAGCUUUCUGGAUCAUUACUGACACUGAGGAACGAAAGCAUGGGUAGCGAAGAGGAUUAGAUACCCUCGUAGUCCAUGCCGUAAACGAUGUGUGUUAGACGUUGGAAAUUUAUUUUCAGUGUCGCAGCGAAAGCGAUAAACACACCGCCUGGGGAGUACGACCGCAAGUAAACUAAUGAUGACGU
This 826-nucleotide ribosomal RNA is filed under the name alpha proteobacterium SCGC AAA298-J15. RNAcentral's name for it is "SSU rRNA". It matches the Rfam family "Bacterial small subunit ribosomal RNA", at positions 35 to 916 of the family's 1533-position model. The record is from RNAcentral. Lineage: Bacteria; Pseudomonadati; Pseudomonadota; Alphaproteobacteria.